RNAcentral lists this ribosomal RNA (246 nucleotides) under uncultured bacterium. RNAcentral describes it as "partial 16S ribosomal RNA". It matches the Rfam family "Bacterial small subunit ribosomal RNA", at positions 524 to 775 of the family's 1533-position model. The record is from RNAcentral.
UACGUAGGGUGCGAGCGUUAAUCGGAAUUACUGGGCGUAAAGCGUGCGUAGGCGGUUCUCCAAGUCCGUUGUGAAAGCCCGGCUCAACCUGGGAAUGGCAGUGGAAACUAGGGAACUUGAAUCUGGCAGAGGGGGUGGAAUGCCGCGUGUAGCAGUGAAUGCGUAGAGAUCAGCAGGAACACCGUGGCGAAGGCGGCCCCUGGGCCGAACCUGACGCUGAGGCGCGAAGGCUAGGGGAGCGAACGG